GGAGAGGUGGCAGAGCGGUCUAAUGCGCCGGUCUUGAAAACCGGAGGCCCGCAAGGGCCCGUGGGUUCGAAUCCCACCCUCUCCGCCA
RNAcentral lists this transfer RNA (88 nucleotides) under Verrucomicrobia bacterium A1. RNAcentral describes it as "tRNA-Ser". It matches the Rfam family "tRNA". Rfam says of the family: Transfer RNA (tRNA) molecules are approximately 80 nucleotides in length. Their secondary structure includes four short double-helical elements and three loops (D, anti-codon, and T loops). Further hydrogen bonds mediate the characteristic L-shaped molecular structure. tRNAs have two regions of fundamental functional importance: the anti-codon, which is responsible for specific mRNA codon recognition, and the 3' end, to which the tRNAs corresponding amino acid is attached (by aminoacyl-tRNA synthetases). tRNAs cope with the degeneracy of the genetic code in two manners: having more than one tRNA (with a specific anti-codon) for a particular amino acid; and 'wobble' base-pairing, i.e. permitting non-standard base-pairing at the 3rd anti-codon position. Lineage: Bacteria; Pseudomonadati; Verrucomicrobiota. The record is from RNAcentral.